RNAcentral lists this ribosomal RNA (1431 nucleotides) under uncultured organism. Its description in RNAcentral is "16S ribosomal RNA". It matches the Rfam family "Bacterial small subunit ribosomal RNA". The record is from RNAcentral.
GCUUAACACAUGCAAGUCGAACGGAAAGGCCCUGCUUUUGUGGGGUGCUCGAGUGGCGAACGGGUGAGUAACACGUGAGUAACCUGCCCUUGACUUUGGGAUAACUUCAGGAAACUGGGGCUAAUACCGGAUAGGAGCUCCUGCUGCAUGGUGGGGGUUGGAAAGUUUCGGCGGUUGGGGAUGGACUCGCGGCUUAUCAGCUUGUUGGUGGGGUAGUGGCUUACCAAGGCUUUGACGGGUAGCCGGCCUGAGAGGGUGACCGGCCACAUUGGGACUGAGAUACGGCCCAGACUCCUACGGGAGGCAGCAGUGGGGAAUAUUGCACAAUGGGCGGAAGCCUGAUGCAGCAACGCCGCGUGCGGGAUGACGGCCUUCGGGUUGUAAACCGCUUUCGCCUGUGACGAAGCGUGAGUGACGGUAAUGGGUAAAGAAGCACCGGCUAACUACGUGCCAGCAGCCGCGGUGAUACGUAGGGUGCGAGCGUUGUCCGGAUUUAUUGGGCGUAAAGGGCUCGUAGGUGGUUGAUCGCGUCGGAAGUGUAAUCUUGGGGCUUAACCCUGAGCGUGCUUUCGAUACGGGUUGACUUGAGGAAGGUAGGGGAGAAUGGAAUUCCUGGUGGAGCGGUGGAAUGCGCAGAUAUCAGGAGGAACACCAGUGGCGAAGGCGGUUCUCUGGGCCUUUCCUGACGCUGAGGAGCGAAAGCGUGGGGAGCGAACGGGCUUAGAUACCCUGGUAGUCCACGCUGUAAACGGUGGGUACUAGGUGUGGGGUCCAUUCCACGGGUUCCGUGCCGUAGCUAACGCUUUAAGUACCCCGCCUGGGGAGUACGGCCGCAAGGCUAAAACUCAAAGGAAUUGACGGGGCCCCGCACAAGCGGCGGAGCAUGCGGAUUAAUUCGAUGCAACGCGUAGAACCUUACCUGGGUUUGACAUGGAUCGGGAGUGCUCAGAGAUGGGUGUGCCUCUUUUGGGGUCGGUUCACAGGUGGUGCAUGGCUGUCGUCAGCUCGUGUCGUGAGAUGUUGGGUUAAGUCCCGCAACGAGCGCAACCCUUGUUCACUGUUGCCAGCACGUUAUGGUGGGGACUCAGUGGAGACCGCCGGGGUCAACUCGGAGGAAGGUGGGGAUGACGUCAAGUCAUCAUGCCCCUUAUGUCCAGGGCUUCACGCAUGCUACAAUGGCUGGUACAGAGAGUGGCGAGCCUGUGAGGGUGAGCGAAUCUCGGAAAGCCGGUCUCAGUUCGGAUUGGGGUCUGCAACUCGACCUCAUGAAGUCGGAGUCGCUAGUAAUCGCAGAUCAGCAACGCUGCGGUGAAUACGUUCCCGGGGCUUGUACACACCGCCCGUCAAGUCAUGAAAGUUGGUAACACCCGAAGCCGGUGGCCUAACCGUUGUGGGGGAGCCGUCGAAGGUGGGACUGGUGAUUAGGACUAA